ACCAGCAAUCACAUCACGGCGGUAACAUCGUGUUAGUAUACGUAUAUAUUAAUGUACAAAUGUACAUACAUAUAUUAGAAGCCAAUAUCGCCUCUGUGUCAGACACGGCUGUAUAGCUGUGUGUACAUGUAAUCGUAAAGUGAAAACGGGAAUGUAUGAUGUGCGAUGUGAUCGGCGGUGCUUUUGAGUUAAUUAGUGAGAGGAACUCCCUGCAUGAAAAUUCAAUGUAAUGAUUAACGUGUAACGCACCUGAUCAGCUUGUUCUAGGCGUGCAGCUUCCUGCCCUUUGGCAUACAUUCUCAGGUACAUUUGUUUAUUUCUUUCUUCUUGCUCGUUUAACAAAGCCUUUUGUUCAGAAAGUUCCGUUUUCACGGUUUCUAGUUCCGCUUCUAAUUCACGAGCACGGGUUUCUG
Bombus terrestris (buff-tailed bumblebee) is the source of this 413-nucleotide long non-coding RNA. RefSeq lists it as uncharacterized. The transcript is spliced from 2 exons. The record is from RefSeq and is a predicted model, not a curated record. NCBI's taxonomy places the organism in Eukaryota, Metazoa, Arthropoda, Insecta, Hymenoptera, Apidae.